Chelonia mydas (Green sea turtle) is the source of this 2211-nucleotide long non-coding RNA. RefSeq lists it as uncharacterized. The transcript has 3 exons. Lineage: Eukaryota; Metazoa; Chordata; Testudines; Cheloniidae. The record is from RefSeq and is a predicted model, not a curated record.
GCUGGGUGGAGUGACUGCUGCCCAGAGCAGGAACUGCCAGCCAGUCACCCCUGGAACUGGCAUUCUGGGGAACGCAGUGACUGCCAGAGCCUGUGGCUGCCCUGCCCACUGAUGCCGACACGGAUGCUCUGAGCUUCAUGGAGCCCAGCACCCCAUGUGGCCGCCUCACCCUCUCUGUCCCCUUAGAGGAUGCAGGAACUGGCUUCUCUCUCCUGAGAAUGAGCUGUGGAUAGAUGUGUGGACAACAGCAGCCAUAAACACUUGUCUCUGCUGUGAAAUGGAGCCUCAGGGGGCCGGGCUGGCUGGACCUGGGCCCCUGUGUUUAUAAAUCCAACCCAGGGGCCAGAUUCUCCAGGACAGGAAUCUGAAAGCGCCCCUGUCUCCGAGGAGCCAUGAGAACACUGCCCUCUCUUGUGCUUUGCAGUCACAAAACUGCUGGGGAGAAGGACCAGAGACCUGGCUCUCCACACCCUCAGGGCAGGGAAUGCACUGGAUGGGCUGUUCCUCCUAAAGACAAGUUCCUGUGCUUUCCCAGCCUGCCUGGCUAGAGCCAGGGUCUCCGCUGGAAGGAAUGUCUGUUUCUUCUCUGCGUGAAUCCUCUGCAGGCAGGAACAGCAUGUUAACAAUGCUCCCAGCUGGUCUGGAAAAGGGAGGAGCUGCCCCCAAGGAGCCAGCACAUUGCAGGGCGUCCGACUUGAUGCCAUGGAGAUGGGCAGUCUGCCAGCGCCUGUGGUCCCCUGGGGAGCAGGGUCUCCGCAGCACAGGGUGGGCUGAGUGGGCGGGAACAUAGGGAUGCUGCCGGGUUUGAGCUCUGGGGAGUUGCUAAGGCUCAGACCCCACCUUGCUGGCACUGCCUUGUUCCUCCCGGCACCCACUGCAGCUCUAGGGGAGCAGGCAUGCUGGUGGGGAGGGGUGGCACAGACAGGGCCCUGGGGGUGGGAAGCCCUUCCUUAGGGGAAAGGCAGCUCUGCUUUGUUACAGGAUUAACCUUGGAACGACUGGCUGAGGGCUAGGCUGUACCAGGUGCCUCUCCCCUGCACCUGUGUCCAAGAGCUGGGCUAGGCACAACACUGACAGCUGGAACCAGCCAGGUUUUGACCUAGGGCUGGGGGUGAGGGCAGCCCCUGGAGUGAGGCAGCUGGCCUGGCUGGGAUGAAGGCACUUGCCACAAACCACAUGGCACCAAGGCACCUUUGUCCCAGGCUGUGUCCAUGGGUGGGGCCUGCACUGAUCUAACCAGCACCACGGCCAGCCCUGGAUGGCUCACAUGCGACACUGUGCUGUGGCUCCAGCAAGGGGCUCGGCCCAAGGCUGGAAUUGCUCCAUGAGGGUCCCUGGCCUGGGUUGCACAGCAGCUCAGACUGGAUGGGCACAAAGUUCCCCUCUGUCCUCUACCUGUGAGUUCCCAGGAGCUCAUCUCCCCCAGACUGAUCCCCCCUCCCCAAAGCGUCUGUUUGCUGCAGUAGCUGGCUGGUUCCAGGCCGGUAGCCUGCCCAGUGACCCCGCCGGCCUCACAUCCCUGCCCAGCUGGCUCCCUGUGCAGGAGCCUGCCAGCCCCACGCAGCAGGGCCCAUAGUGACAGGGAGGGCCCAGUUCUGUGUGGGAUCCAGCGCUCAGGCAGAGGGGAUGCCUGUACACAUCCCGACAGGAGGCCACUCUCAGUGAGGCCAGCCUUGCCUGGGGGCUGCUCUCUGGCCGUGGCAAGCUGGAGCUCUGUUGCUGUGUAACCUGGGCCCAGUGGGAGUGCCGCCCUAGGCUGGGGUUAGGAAGGCUGAAGCAAGGCACAGCGGUUCUGGGCAGGUGGGCCCCUGUGGAGGUUCCCGUGCUGCGGGCAGAGGGCUGUACUCUCACAGAGCCCUGGUUGCAUAGGGGCGCUACCAAUGGUGCAGGGGCAUGGAACAAGCCCUGCUCUGACAUUACCGUGCCCUUGCGGGAGAGCCGGGCAGCGCCGGCUCCCUUAUCUCUGUGCAGGGAAGGGCAAGCAGGAGCCUGAAGGACACAGGCAGGGACUGGUGCCUGCGGACGCAGAGCAUGAGGCCAGCGAGCAGCUGGGGGCCAGGCAGGGCUGCUCCAGGGGUUGGCUCUGCACUAACUCGCCCUUCUGUUGCUAAGAGCCAUCGGUGCCACCUGGAGUGACCCUCCCCCCACCAAGGCACCGCAGAGGGCUGGGGGGAGGGGGCACCUGAUGUGAUCCACUGGCUGCAAAUGUUU